This is a microRNA precursor of Oryza sativa Indica Group (long-grained rice), 197 nucleotides long. It matches the Rfam family "MIR812 microRNA precursor family". The record is from Rfam. Lineage: Eukaryota; Viridiplantae; Streptophyta; Magnoliopsida; Poales; Poaceae.
AAUAAGUUCAUUUAUAUGUUUAUGUGUGCAAUGUUUGACCGUAUGUCUUAUUUGCUCUUUUUAUGAAUUACUAGUAUUUUUGUUGUUAUUAGAUGAUAAGAUAUAAAUAGUACUUUAUGCAUGACUUGUUUUUUAAAAAUUUUCAGAUAAGACGGACGGUCAAAAGUUAGAUAUAGAAACCUACCAAUAAACUUAUU